UACGGGGGGAGCAAGCGUUGUUCGGAUUUACUGGGCGUAAAGGGCGCGUAGGCGGCGCAACAAGUCACUUGUGAAAUCUCCGGGCUUAACCCGGAGCGGCCAAGUGAUACUGUCGUGCUAGAGUGCGGAAGGGGCUACUGGAAUUCUCGGUGUAGCGGUGAAAUGCGUAGAUAUCGAGAGGAACACCUGCGGCGAAGGCGGGUAGCUGGGCCGACACUGACGCUGAGGCGCGAAAGCUAGGGGAGCGAACGGG
Molecule: ribosomal RNA, 253 nt
Filed under: uncultured bacterium
Lineage: Bacteria
Description: partial 16S ribosomal RNA
Rfam family: Bacterial small subunit ribosomal RNA
Source: RNAcentral